RNAcentral lists this ribosomal RNA (429 nucleotides) under bacterium. RNAcentral describes it as "partial 16S ribosomal RNA". It matches the Rfam family "Bacterial small subunit ribosomal RNA", at positions 355 to 776 of the family's 1533-position model. The record is from RNAcentral.
UAGGGAAUCUUCCACAAUGGACGCAAGUCUGAUGGAGCAACGCCGCGUGAGUGAAGAAGGUUUUCGGAUCGUAAAGCUCUGUUGUUGGUGAAGAAGGAUAGAGGUAGUAACUGGCCUUUAUUUGACGGUGAUCAACCAGAAAGUCACGGCUAACUACGUGCCAGCAGCCGCGGUAAUACGUAGGUGGCAAGCGUUGUCCGGAUUUAUUGGGCGUAAAGCGAGCGCAGGCGGAAGAAUAAGUCUGAUGUGAAAGCCCUCGGCUUAACCGAGGAACUGCAUCGGAAACUGUUUUUCUUGAGUGCAGAAGAGGAGAGUGGAAUUCCAUGUGUAGCGGUGGAAUGCGUAGAUAUAUGGAAGAACACCAGUGGCGAAGGCGACUCUCUGGUCUGCAACUGACGCUGAGGCUCGAAAGCAUGGGUAGAGAACAGG